RNAcentral lists this ribosomal RNA (433 nucleotides) under uncultured bacterium. RNAcentral's name for it is "partial 16S ribosomal RNA". It matches the Rfam family "Bacterial small subunit ribosomal RNA", at positions 29 to 507 of the family's 1533-position model. The record is from RNAcentral.
AACGAACGCUGGCGGCAUGCCUAACACAUGCAAGUCGAACGAGACCUUCGGGUCUAGUGGCGCACGGGUGCGUAACGCGUGGGAACCUGCCCUUAGGUUCGGAAUAACUCCCCGAAAGGGGUGCUAAUACCGGUUAAUGUCUUCGGACCAAAGAUUUAUCGCCUUUGGAUGGGCCCGCGUUGGAUUAGCUAGUUGGUAGGGUAAAAGCCUACCAAGGCGACGAUCCAUAGCUGGUCUGAGAGGAUGAUCAGCCACACUGGGACUGAGACACGGCCCAGACUCCUACGGGAGGCAGCAGUGGGGAAUAUUGGACAAUGGGCGAAAGCCUGAUCCAGCAAUGCCGCGUGAGUGAUGAAGGCCUUAGGGUUGUAAAGCUCUUUUAGCCGGGAUGAUAAUGACAGUACCGGGAGAAUAAGCUCCGGCUAACUCCGUG